This 406-nucleotide ribosomal RNA is filed under the name uncultured bacterium. RNAcentral's name for it is "partial 16S ribosomal RNA". It matches the Rfam family "Bacterial small subunit ribosomal RNA", at positions 30 to 526 of the family's 1533-position model. The record is from RNAcentral.
AUUGAACGCUGGCGGCAGGCCUAACACAUGCAAGUCGAACGAGUGGCGGACGGGUGAGUAAUGUCUGGGAAACUGCCCGAUGGAGGGGGAUAACUACUGGAAACGGUAGCUAAUACCGCAUACCCUCGGAUGUGCCCAGAUGGGAUGAGCUUGUAGGUGAGGGAACGGCUCACCUAGGCGACGAUCCCUAGCUGGUCUGAGAGGAUGACCAGCAACACUGGAACUGAUACACGGUCCAGACUCCUACGUGAGGCAGCAGUGGGGAAGAUUGCACAAUGGGCGCAAGCAUGAUGCAGCCAUGCCGCGUGUAUGAAGAAGGCCUUCGGGUGUUAAAGUACUUUCAGCGGGGAGGCGUUACCCGCAGAAGAAGCACCGGCUAACUCCGUGUCAUCAGCCGCGGUAAUAC